AUGCCACUUUUCAUGCCCAUGACCAGCAUGAAGCCUCUCUCCUUUUUGCUACUCAUCAAACUACUCUUUCUUGGCCUUAGUGUGGCACCCUUCAUUGCCGGUGAUGAGCACCAGUUCAGCUUCUCCGGCUUUUCCAACACCAACCUCACCCUUGACGGUGCGGCCUCGGUCACGCCCAAUGGAUUACUUAUGCUCACCAAUGGCUCGGCCCUGAGCAUGGGCCAUGCCUUCUAUCCGAGUCCGCUGCACUUCCACAAUUUGUCCGAUGGGACUGUACAGACCUUCUGCAUCUCGUUUGUCUUCGCCAUCGUCCCCACCUACAAGGACUUGAGCAGCAAUGGCCUCACCAUGUUCAUUGCACCGAGCAAGAAUUUGCCAGCAGCGAUGCCAAUACAGUUCUUGGGUCUUCUCAACGACCAGAAUAAUGGCAAUGAAACAAACCACAUCUUCGCAAUCGAGCUAGACACCUUUCAGAACUUGGAGUUCGAGGACAUCAACGACAACCAUAUCGGUAUUGACAUCAACAGUCUCUAUUCCAUAAAAUCCCACAAUGCUGGCUUCUACCACGACGAGAGUGGCACCUUCCAGAGCUUGGGUCUCGAUAGCCAAGAGGCCAUGCAAGUGUGGGUGGACUACCACAGAGAGAAGACACAGAUCGAUGCCACCAUGGCUCCUCUCGGCAUGGUCAAACCUACAAGACCAACGGUUUCGGCCAACUACAACCUCUCAAGUGUGCUCACAGAUGUGGCAUACAUUGGCUUCUCAUCUGCACAAGGCAAGAUAAACACGAAGCACUAUGUGCUGGGUUGGAGUUUUGGCAUGAACAGUCCUGCUCCAGCUAUCAAUCUCACCAUCCUGCCAACACUACCUUCUGAUCCUCAUACCAAGUAUCGACACCGUCUCUGGCUAUUGGAGAUCAUUCUACCACUAGCAACGGCAGCACUCAUCCUGUCUGUGGCUGCCGUUGUUUCCCUACUUGUGCGGAGGCAUUUCAGGUAUGCAGAGUUACGUGAUGACUGGGAGGUCGAAUUCGGUCCACACCGCUUCUCGUACAAGGAUUUGUUCCAUGCAACAGAGGGAUUUGACGACAAAAACCUCCUAGGGGCCGGAGGAUUUGGAAGAGUAUACAGAGGGGAGCUGCCAAGGUCCAAACUAAGGAUGGCUGUGAAGAGGGUGUCGCAUGACUCGAAGCAAGGCAUGAAGGAAUUCAUCGCCGAAAUUGUUAGCACUGGCCGCCUUCAAAAUCCAAAUCUCGUACACUUACUUGGCUAUUGCAGGCGUCAAGGUGAGCUCCUGUUAGUGUAUGAGUACAUGCCCAAAGGAAGCCUCGAUAAGUACUUGUAUGGUGAAGUGAACAACUCCACAUUAAGUUGGGAUCAGAGGUUUUGGAUCAUCAGGGGCAUCGCGUCUGCACUGAUUUAUCUCCACGAGGAGUGGGAGAAAGUAGUUGUCCACCGAGACAUCAAGGCAAGCAAUGUGCUCCUUGAUGAUGAGUUGAACGCACGGUUGGGUGAUUUCGGUCUAGCAAGGCAGUAUGAUCAUGGUGUUGAGCAAGAAACUACUCGUGUUGUCGGCACCAUCGGAUACCUUGCUCCAGAGCUAGCACGGACGGCCAAGGGUACUCCUCUUACCGAUGUAUUUGCCUUUGGUGUAUUUAUUCUAGAGGUCACUUGUGGACAAAGACCUAUCAUGCAAAGCACACAAGAUGAGCUGGUCAUGUUGGUUGAUUGGGUGCUUGAGCAUGUGCAACAAGGAUCACUCGAAGAUGCAAUAGAUGUGAGGCUUAAAGGGCACUACAAUGUCGGUGAGGCAUAUUUGGCGCUGAAGCUAGGACUACUGUGCUCACAUCCAUUUGUGUGUGCAAGGCCUAGCAUGCGGCAAGUGAUCCAAUACCUAGAUGGGCAUAUUGAACCACCAGAGCUACCAGCACACCAGAGCUUCCAAGCGCUGGCCUUGAUGCAAAAUGAAGGGUUUGAUCCAUACAUCAUGUCGUAUCCUUCAUCAACGAAUGUUGGCACAAUAUCAAGCAUUUCAGGAGGAAGAUGA
RNAcentral lists this ribosomal RNA (2046 nucleotides) under Triticum aestivum (bread wheat). RNAcentral's name for it is "partial small subunit ribosomal RNA". Lineage: Eukaryota; Viridiplantae; Streptophyta; Magnoliopsida; Poales; Poaceae. The record is from RNAcentral.